UCACUUUCAACAACGGAUCUCUUGGCUCUCGCAUCGAUGAAGAACGCAGCGAAAUGCGAUAAGUAGUGUGAAUUGCAGAAAUUGUGAAUCAUCGAAUCUUUGAACGCAAAUUGCACUCUCUGGUAUUCCGGGGAGUAUGCCUGUUUGAGGGUCGUUAG
This 158-nucleotide ribosomal RNA is filed under the name Glomus sp. WUM3. RNAcentral describes it as "5.8S ribosomal RNA". It matches the Rfam family "5.8S ribosomal RNA". Rfam says of the family: 5.8S ribosomal RNA (5.8S rRNA) is a component of the large subunit of the eukaryotic ribosome. It is transcribed by RNA polymerase I as part of the 45S precursor that also contains 18S and 28S rRNA. RNAcentral also lists the same sequence under 1 other name. Lineage: Eukaryota; Fungi; Glomeromycota; Glomeromycetes; Glomerales; Glomeraceae. The record is from RNAcentral.